This 460-nucleotide ribosomal RNA is filed under the name uncultured bacterium. Its description in RNAcentral is "bacterial SSU rRNA". It matches the Rfam family "Bacterial small subunit ribosomal RNA", at positions 29 to 510 of the family's 1533-position model. The record is from RNAcentral.
AACGAACGCUGGCGGCAUGCCUAACACAUGCAAGUCGAACGCGUGUAGCAAUACACGAGUGGCGGACGGGUGAGUAACGCGUGGGAACCUGCCCAAUGGUAGGGAGUAACUGCGGGAAACUGCAGCUAAUACCCUAUGCUCCCUACGGGGAAGAUUUAUCGCCAUUGGAGGGCCCGCGUCGGAUUAGCUAGUUGGCGGGGUAACGGCCCACCAAGGCUACGAUCCGUAGCUGGUCNGAGAGGAUGAUCAGCCACACUGGGACUGAGACACGGCCCAGACUCCUACGGGAGGCAGCAGUGGGGAAUAUUGGACAAUGGGCGCAAGCCUGAUCCAGCGAUGCCGCGUGUGUGAAGAAGGCCUGCGGGUUGUAAAGCACUUUCAGUAGGGAAGAAAAGCCGAGUGCUAAUAUCAUUCGGUCUUGACGUUACUUACAGAAGAAGCACCGGCUAACUCCGUGCCA